UGCGUAGGUGGCCGAUUAAGUCAGUGGUGAAAGCCUACAGCUCAACUGUAGAGGUGCCAUUGAUACUGGUCGGCUUGAGUAUGGACGAGGUAGGCGGAAUUUGUGGUGUAGCGGUGAAAUGCAUAGAUACCACAAAGAACACCAAUAGCGAAGGCAGCUUACUGGACCAUAACUGACACUGAGGCACGAAAGCGUGGGGAGCGAACAGGAUUAGAUACCCUGGUAGUC
RNAcentral lists this ribosomal RNA (228 nucleotides) under uncultured bacterium. RNAcentral's name for it is "partial 16S ribosomal RNA". It matches the Rfam family "Bacterial small subunit ribosomal RNA", at positions 568 to 795 of the family's 1533-position model. The record is from RNAcentral.